This is a long non-coding RNA of Vicia villosa (hairy vetch), 560 nucleotides long. RefSeq lists it as uncharacterized. The transcript has 2 exons. Lineage: Eukaryota; Viridiplantae; Streptophyta; Magnoliopsida; Fabales; Fabaceae. The record is from RefSeq and is a predicted model, not a curated record.
GUCAUGUCGGCAGCAGAAGUCUAAACCGUUGGAUUAAUCGAGCGGUUGGAAAUUACGAUAAAAAACACAUCAUAGCUAUAAAUUGCACCCACACGUUCUCGUAGAGUUAUCGGCGCUAGAAAACCUAAAACCGAUUCUGAUCUCUGAAUCUGAGUCACAUCAACCUCCAACAACACCAGAUCUCUCGAUCUACCCGAAGAACACUGCUUCAGAUUCAAUUUUCAUGUUAAUUUGAUGUGUUGGUAGGUAACUGAAGAAGGUAAAGUGAUGUCAUCACUGCUUAGGUACAAGGAUUGUUUUGCCGGUUUUUUUAUGAAUCUUCAGCUGGAUAUGGUGCCUCAACUAGCUUUCUUUUAUUUUGAUUUCUAACAACAGCCAUAGCAUCGAUUUUUUACUACUUGCUUUGCCGAAGGAAGUUAAGCUUAUGCCCAAAAUGCCAUGUCUAUGUUUUUAGGUUACUAUUCUCUUUUGUCUUUUCUAGUGUGAUUUACUAUGUGAGGCUUAUUUGUUGUUAUAUAAGCAUUGGAAUGGAUUAGUAUCUUCCUUUCUUCUUUAAUUAA